This 490-nucleotide ribosomal RNA is filed under the name uncultured bacterium. RNAcentral describes it as "partial 16S ribosomal RNA". It matches the Rfam family "Bacterial small subunit ribosomal RNA", at positions 28 to 507 of the family's 1533-position model. The record is from RNAcentral.
GAUGAACGCUAGCGGCAGGCCUAAUACAUGCAAGUCGAACGGGAUCCAGAUCAAAGCUUGCUUUGGCCUGGUGAGAGUGGCGCACGGGUGCGUAACGCGUGAGCAACCUACCCUUGUCAGGGGGAUAGCCCGGCGAAAGUCGGAUUAAUACCGCAUGACAUCAUUGAGAGGCAUCUUUCGAUGAUCAAAGAUUUAUCGGACAAGGAUGGGCUCGCGUGACAUUAGCUAGUUGGUAAGGUAACGGCUUACCAAGGCUGCGAUGUCUAGGGGCUCUGAGAGGAGAAUCCCCCACACUGGUACUGAGACACGGACCAGACUCCUACGGGAGGCAGCAGUAAGGAAUAUUGGUCAAUGGACGGAAGUCUGAACCAGCCAUGCCGCGUGCAGGAAGACGGCCCUAUGGGUUGUAAACUGCUUUUAUACGGGAACAAACGUCGGUACGUGUACCGGUCUGAGUGUACCGUAAGAAUAAGGAUCGGCUAACUCCGUG